UCUUUGAAGCUAGCUCUUGUAGCAACUGUUUCAUCGAUGAUCUCCGCUAGCGGCGGAGUUCUGAUGCGCCGCCUCCUUGCUUCCGGUGGACGACAGCGGACCUUCAUCUUGACACGUGUGCAUGCAUCGCCGGGCGAACGUACACGCGGUGGGUGACGUGUCCCUCUUUCCUCGACGGUUUACUCUAUGGACUUACGGCCCAUAGCUGUUUUCUUUGGUUGGCC
This 224-nucleotide long non-coding RNA is filed under the name Brassica rapa (field mustard). RNAcentral's name for it is "long non-coding RNA (BRAP_LNC003208)". The record is from RNAcentral. Lineage: Eukaryota; Viridiplantae; Streptophyta; Magnoliopsida; Brassicales; Brassicaceae.